This 1360-nucleotide long non-coding RNA is filed under the name Chinchilla lanigera (long-tailed chinchilla). RNAcentral describes it as "lncRNA (ENSCLAG00000024679.1)". Lineage: Eukaryota; Metazoa; Chordata; Mammalia; Rodentia; Chinchillidae. The record is from RNAcentral.
UUAUGGAGCAAAAGAGAAAAGUUUUUUAAAAAUGUAAUCUAAUUAAUCUGAGUGCAUUUGUAUGCCUAUUAAAAUUCACCUGUCCUGGAUUUGCCAUUUAUCAUGAUUACAAGGGAACAGCCAUGCUGAGAAAGGGGCUGCCUCUUCAUUUAAUAAGAAAUGAUGAUUUAUUAUCCGGGAUGCUUUUAGUAAUGGUUUAGAUCUAAUGGACAGGUCCGUGUGACAAACUCACCGUGCAUACUCUAAAACUAGAUAUGUCCCUUUACAUGGGGCACCUCCAAGUGACGCUCUGAGACAUGCUCAUGUGCUGUGGAUGUUCCAGCCCCAUGGAGCCCCACUGGGGAAAGGGAGCCCACCUUUCAGAUGGUUGUUCCCAGGUCUGUGAGUGCCUUCCUGCUGGGAUCUGUGCUGCCACUGAAGAAGAAAGACCACCCAUCAACAGACUGAGAAUUCAGAUACCAAUACCAAAUCCAGCAGGCUAGGAGUCCACUGUGCAGAAGAGUAAGGCCUGGGUGAACUCCUAAGACAAGCUCUUCCUAGAUUUUCUUGGUUUUUUAUUUGUUUCUUUGUGACACAGGGGAUUGAACCCAGGGCCUUCAACUGAGCUACAAACCCAGGCCGCUUUUUUCUUUCUUUUCCUUUUUUCCUUUUUUUAGAAGAUAAUGUCCCACUCAGUCACUUAGUUGUCCAGGCUGGGGUCAAACUUGUAAUCCUCCAGAGUGCUGGGAUUAGAGGCAUGUGUUACCAUGCCAGACUUUCAUGUUUCAGCUGAGAGAAAGAGAAUAAACAGUACCUGGCCAGCUCAGAACACCAAGUGAACCCAAUGAAGUCACAAUUAUACUUCCCAUGGGCAGAGUCUGUCUCAUCACAGCUCAACAUCCUAGAGACCCAGAAGUUCCUGCAGAAAGCGCACUGCACAGAAAAGCUUCCUGGAGAAGAAAGCACCACAAAUGAACCCCAAACAGUGAGUCACACCCGAGCACUGAUGUCAGGCCAGCUCCGGCUGUUAACUGAUGGCCCCUCAACACAGCGGCAGGCACAGCACAGGGAGGUGAGGUGACACUGGCAGCAUGGAUGGAGUCUUCUGCUUCAUCGCAACGAGCAGUCUGGAACCUUGGCCACAUUUGAAAAUCCAUCUCUUUGAACCAAUACAGACAGCUUAAUGAAGCAAUAUUUAUGGAACUGAUACCACGAGGGACGGUUGCUCCUUUUCUCUAUCUUCUAUUUUUAAUAUUUGAUCUGGCAAACGUAUUAUUAAAGGAAUAUUUCAAAUCUGAUUACUCUUCUGUUUGACUGUGUGUUUUAUUCAUGCAAGCUGAGUGUCAGGGGAAAUUACACCAACCAGUUUGGGAGCUUUAUU